CCCCUCCCCUUUCCCCAAUUUCCCCCCCCCCCCACGUUGCUUCAUCGCCUCCGCAUCCCUCCGGUACCAGGGACCGGUGACAUCCCCCCGCCCCCCAAAACGUGCCAGCACCGGGACGAGCCUGGACCACUGGGACAAGAUGCAGGAGAGCUACGAGAGCGUCAUCUCCCUGGCUGAGGAAAUCGCCAUCAGUUGGCCACGGAUCACCGCCUUUGCCGAAUCACACCGAAGGAGGGGGUUGGUGUCCGGUAAGUCACCAAUUGUGCUGCUGGUUGGUGCCGGUGAUGACCAGGAGCAUGUUUUGGAAGCCCCAAAACCA
This 319-nucleotide long non-coding RNA is filed under the name Accipiter nisus (Eurasian sparrowhawk). RNAcentral's name for it is "lncRNA (ENSANIG00000004368.1)". Lineage: Eukaryota; Metazoa; Chordata; Aves; Accipitriformes; Accipitridae. The record is from RNAcentral.